RNAcentral lists this ribosomal RNA (788 nucleotides) under uncultured Actinomycetes bacterium. RNAcentral describes it as "bacterial SSU rRNA". It matches the Rfam family "Bacterial small subunit ribosomal RNA", at positions 69 to 884 of the family's 1533-position model. Lineage: Bacteria; Bacillati; Actinomycetota; Actinomycetes. The record is from RNAcentral.
AGGUAGCAAUACCUAGUGGGGAACGGCGGAGUAAUACAUGAACAACGUGCCCUGAAGUCCGGGACAAACGCAGAAAUGCCAUAAAUACCGGAUGUGGCCCCGACCUGGCAUCAGGAUGGGAUUAAACGGUUUUUCGCUUCAGGAGCGGUUCAUGGCCUAUCAGGUAGUUGGUGGGGUAAUGGCCUACCAAGCCGACGACAGGUAGCGGGUCUGAGAGGAUGAUCCGCUCGAGUGGGACUGAGACACGGCCCACACACCUACGGGUGGCAGCAGUUGGGAAUCUUGCACAAUGGGGGAAACCCUGAUGCAGCGACGCCGCGUGGAGGAUGACGGAUCUAGGUCUGUAAACUCCUUUUUCAUGGAAAGACUUAGGACGGUACCAUGAGAAUAAGGACCGGCUAACUACGUGCCAGCAGCCGCGGUAAGACGUAGGGUCCAAGCGUUGUCCGGAUUUACUGGGCGUAAAGAGCGCGUAGGCGGUCUGUUAAGUGUGAAGUGAAAUCUCCAGGGCUCAACCCGGAAACUGCUUCGCAUACUGGCAGACUUGAGGAAUGCAGAGGUUUGUGGAAUUCCUGGUGUAACGGUGAAAUGUGUUGAUAUCAGGAGGAACACCCAUGGCGAAGGCAGCAAACUGGGCAUUAUCUGACGCUGAGGCGCGAAAGCGUGGGUAGCAAACAGGAUUAGAUUCCCUGGUAGUCCACGCCCUAAACGAUGGAUACUAGGCGUAAGAGGUAUCGACCCCUCUUGUGCCGCAGCCAACGCAUUAAGUAUCCCGCCUGGGGAGUACG